Daphnia pulicaria is the source of this 684-nucleotide long non-coding RNA. RefSeq lists it as uncharacterized. The transcript has 5 exons. The record is from RefSeq and is a predicted model, not a curated record. NCBI's taxonomy places the organism in Eukaryota, Metazoa, Arthropoda, Branchiopoda, Diplostraca, Daphniidae.
GAUGGCACAAUGUAAGUUUCGUCAAUUUUUGAUAAAUUUAUAUCGAUAUCUUAGCAUAGCUAAAUUUAGAAUAUUAGUGUCGUCUGCUUUGGUUCGUUCACCUUGACACCUUCAUAAUAGAAUCUUGCACGGUAAAUACAAGAAGACAAAUAGAAUGAUUAUGAGAGCUUAACUAGAAGAGUUAAAUGAGUUAAAUCUGUUCCCCUAACAAAUUGUGUGAAAACUAUGUUAGUUCCUGACUAGCAUUUAUCAUAUUAGAGGCCUGGGUCAACCACAAGAUUUGCAGCAUCAAGUUUGAUUGCAUCAUUUCCCUUUUCUUUAAAUGUCAUCGUGUAUGCCCAUGUGAGUGUGGGUGUAUUCACGAGGACCUCCUUUUUCGAUCCAUUCCCGCUUGGUGGAUUCUGCGGAUGGAGCACCUGUGGAUGUCUAGCUGUAUUUUCAGGACUUACAGAUUUGAUGCCUUCAUAACCACAAGUUUGCUUAAUAAACAAGUUUCACUUGUGCUGGUAUACUGACCCGUUAUCACAAUUCAACAAUCUGAGCAUCAUUACUUGGACUUGGAUAAACAGCAUUCCAUUGGAUUGAAGAAACAAGUUCUUCCUCUUCCUUUGAAUGUCCUUGUGUACACCCAUGUGAGUGUGGGGGUAUUCACGAGGAUGCAGGACUUCCUUUUUCCUAUCCCGC